Piliocolobus tephrosceles (Ugandan red Colobus) is the source of this 2324-nucleotide long non-coding RNA. RefSeq lists it as uncharacterized. The record is from RefSeq and is a predicted model, not a curated record. The transcript is spliced from 6 exons. Lineage: Eukaryota; Metazoa; Chordata; Mammalia; Primates; Cercopithecidae.
GCAGUGCUGCGUGAGCCUUAGCCGCGCAGGCUGGGUGAAGGGAGAAUGGCGGAUCUGUUACCUUUUGCGGUUCCCACCAAGAGUGACAAAACCUUGCUAGUGUGGGAACUGAGCUCUGGACCCACGGCCGAGGCUUUGCAUGCUGUUUCUCUUGGAGGUGGUGCAGGAGGUUAAAGAAAGCACCUCUGAUGAGCAGAUAGCUGGAGGCUGUUCCCAAGGUCAUGUCUCAGUGAAGAAGUUGGAGUCUAGCAGCCAUCAGAACCAAGGGGUUCAACUUGGUGUCAUCUUCAAAGAGAGAGGACAGAAGGAGCGAGAUUAGUGGACUCAUUACGGCCUUUGUCACUCCGAGUCCAGAUGGGACUUUAGGGAGGUUCAGCCCAAACUUUCCUUUUAGAGAGAGAGGUCUUGCUCCGUCACACGGUCUGGAGUGCAGUGGUACAAUCCCAGCUCACUGCAGCCUCGACCUCCUGAACUCAAAUGACCAUCCCAUCUCAGCCUCCCAAGUAGCUGCACCUGGCUAAUUAAAAAAGAUUUUUUUGAGAUGAGGUCUGUGUUGCCCAGGCUGGUCUCCAACUCCUGGGCUCAAGCAAUCCUCUUACCUCAGCCUCUCAAAGCACUGGGGUUACAGGUGAGAGCCCCUCACUUGGCCUAACAAGGGGAACCCACCAAGCCCUACUGAAGCCCAGGGACAUCUGCAUAGGAAGAAUAACAUCAUGAACCACCAGUGCCGAGAAGGAACUCUCAGCAGGUUAACUGCACCAGCACCCACUGAAGUUCCGUGAGGCCAAGGGCCAAGGCUUGCCAAGAGCUGUCAGUCUUUCCUUCUACAGAUGCCUCUGGGCUCUGAGCUGCUCCUCCUGCAGCAGGGAUGGCUGAACUGAGCCAGCCACACUCUCCUUCUGUCAGGCCCUCUAUGCCCACUACUUUGGGGGAUGGAGGAUUAGGAAGGCUAUUGGAGGCUGAGAACUAAAGUUUCUUUUAGGGCUGGGUGUGGUGGCUCAUGCCUGUAAUCCCAGCAUUUUGAGAGGCUGGGGCAGGAGGAUUGCUGGAGCCCAGGAAUUUAAGGCUGGAGUGAGCUAUGAUGGCACCACUGCACUCCAGCCUGGGUGACAGAGCAAGACCCUGUCUCUUAAAAACAAACAAACAAACAAACAAACAAAAGUUCUUUUAGACCAUGCUAACUGAUUCUUUAAAAGAUUGAGCCUUUGGUAUGGGUUUAUGACUCCCAUUUCUGGAGCUAAUCCUGGAAUUAACGUCACCCUUAGACUCCAGACUGGGCCAUGGUGGUGGGCGGGGGGGGGGGGGGGCACCUGCCAUGAGAGAUGAAAUUGUUUAAAUCCAUUCCAGCCCAAGAGCAAGGAGGAAAGCUCUGGGAGGCUGUGAAAGGCAGACUGGGUGGAGGGGAGGGGAGCAGAGAACCAUGCGGGGACUGACUGCAGCUGUUGGCAGACAGACCAUGUCAGCUGGCCCUGCCCUCUGGGUUUGUGGGGACAUGGGUUCAGCUCUCAGUUGCAGCUGAGGCUUCAGAGAGCUUGUAAGAAAGGACAGUAUGCAGGAGUGAGCCCAGGCCCAUGGGGCGCCUGGGGAUGAGAUGAUUUCCAGCUCGCACCAGCCGUGCUCCCCCGGGUGGAGUUUCUCUGUGCUCCUCUUUGCUGACACAACCCCUGCAGAUGCACAUAGUCAGAGGCCUUGCCCUUCCCCCAGCCUGACCAACCUCCUAGUGUUGAGGAGGGCCCAACCCUCAUUAAACUCAUGGUCUCUGAAUUUGGGCGUAUGCUUUAAAUGGGGGUUGCAUUGAUGGGAGGGUCUGGCUGUCAUCUGACCCACUUUGCAGUUCUUAUGGCUCAGCGCUUGUGAAAGCUGAGUCAUGUGGUGGCAGGCAGCGCCAGGAUCCCAGGGCUCAUCUGAGGCCAUCUCUCCAUCGCGGAGACCAUGGUUCUCAAAUUUGAAAGGUACAAGAGGGACAACUUCAAAAAUCAGAUUCCUGGGAUCCUGGUCCCAGAGGAUCAUAUUCAGUGGGAUGGGGCCCAGGAAUCUGCAUUUUACAAGCCAUCCAGGUAUAAGGAGAGCCUCACAGUCUGCAGACUACUCUGCAAUGCUCUGCUCCAGGAAGAACCAACCUGGGGUCUAUCCUAGGUAUUCUUUCUGAGGCUCUGUGAGUAUCAUGCGAAGGACACUGAAUGCUUUGUCAAAAUGCUUCUUGAUAGCCUGGGCGUGGUGGCUCACGCCUAUAAUCCCAGCAAUUUGGGAGGCCAAGACGGGUGGAUCACGAGGUCAGGAGAUUGAGACCAUCCUGGCUAACACGGUGAAACCCCGUCUCUACU